AUUGAACGCUGGCGGCAGGCCUAACACAUGCAAGUCGAGCGGAUGAAGGGAGCUUGCUCCUGGAUUCAGCGGCGGACGGGUGAGUAAUGCCUAGGAAUCUGCCUGGUAGUGGGGGAUAACGUCCGGAAACGGGCGCUAAUACCGCAUACGUCCUGCGGGAGAAAGUGGGGGAUCUUCGGACCUCACGCUAUCAGAUGAGCCUAGGUCGGAUUAGUUAGUUGGUGGGGUAAAGGCCUACCAAGGCGACGAUCCGUAACUGGUCUGAGAGGAUGAUCGGUCACACUGGAACGGAGACACGGUCCAGACUCCUACGGGAGGCAGCAGUGGGGAAUAUUGGACAAUGGGCGAAAGCCUGAUCCAGCCAUGCCGCGUGUGUGAAGAAGGUCUUCGGAUUGUAAAGCACUUUAAGUUGGGAGGAAGGGCAGUAAGUUAAUACCUUGCUGUUUUGACGUUACCAACAGAAUAAGCACCGGCUAACUUCGUG
This 484-nucleotide ribosomal RNA is filed under the name uncultured bacterium. Its description in RNAcentral is "partial 16S ribosomal RNA". It matches the Rfam family "Bacterial small subunit ribosomal RNA", at positions 30 to 507 of the family's 1533-position model. The record is from RNAcentral.